This 1348-nucleotide ribosomal RNA is filed under the name metagenome. RNAcentral's name for it is "bacterial LSU rRNA". It matches the Rfam family "Bacterial large subunit ribosomal RNA", at positions 1564 to 2925 of the family's 2925-position model. The record is from RNAcentral.
UGAGUACGAGCGGCUACGGCCGCGAAGUGGAUGAUGUCAAGCUUCCAAGAAAAGCCCUAUACCCGUUAAGGCAUGAUGGCCUGUACCCGAAACCGACACAGGUGGGGUGGUAGAGAAUACCGAGGGGCGCGAGGUAACUCUCUCUAAGGAACUCGGCAAAAUGGCCCCGUAACUUCGGGAGAAGGGGUGCCACCGCGAGGUGGUCGCAGUGAAGAGGCCCAGGCGACUGUUUACCAAAAACACAGGUCUCCGCUAAGUCGCAAGACGAUGUAUGGGGGCUGACGCCUGCCCAGUGCCGGAAGGUUAAGGAAGCUGGUCAGCGCAAGCGAAGCUGGCGACUGAAGCCCCGGUGAACGGCGGCCGUAACGAUAACGGUCCUAAGGUAGCGAAAUUCCUUGUCGGGUAAGUUCCGACCCGCACGAAAGGCGUAACGAUCUGGGCGCUGUCUCGGAGAGAGGCUCGGCGAAAUAGAAUUGUCUGUGAAGAUGCGGACUACGUGCACCCGGACAGAAAGACCCUAUGAAGCUUUACUGUAGCUUGGUAUUGUGCUCGGGCUCGGAAUGCGCAGGAUAGGUGGGAGGCUUUGAUCCAUUGCUUGCGGGUGAUGGUGAGCCACUGGUGAGAUACCACUCUUUCCGAGCUAGAGUUCUAACAGCAACCCGUUAUCCGGGUGCUGGACAGUAUCAGGUGGGCAGUUUGACUGGGGCGGUCGCCUCCUAAAAGGUAACGGAGGCGCGCAAAGGUCUGCUCAGGCUGGUUGGAAAUCAGCCGACGAGUGUAAAAGCAGAAGCAGGCUUGACUGUGAGACCUACAAGUCGAACAGGGAGGAAACUCGGCUUUAGUGAUCCGACGGUUCUGCGUGGAAGGGCCGUCGCUCAACGGAUAAAAGUUACUCUAGGAUAACAGGCUGAUCUCCCCCAAGAGUUCACAUCGACGGGGAGGUUUGGCACCUCGAUGUCGGCUCAUCGCAACCUGGGGCUGAAGUCGGUCCCAAGGGUUGGGCUGUUCGCCCAUUAAAGCGGUACGCGAGCUGGGUUCAGAACGUCGUGAGACAGUUCGGUCCAUAUCCGGUGCACGCGCAGGAAUAUUGAGAGGAUUUCUCCCUAGUACGAGAGGACCGGGAGGAACGCACCUCUGGUGUGCCAGUUAUCGUGCCAACGGUAAACGCUGGGUAGCCAUGUGCGGAGUGGAUAACCGCUGAAAGCAUCUAAGUGGGAAGCCCACCUCAAGAUGAGUAUUCCCAUGGGGUAACCCAGUAAGGUCACGGGAAGAACACCCGUUGAUAGGCUCUACGUGGAAGCGCAGUAACGUGUGAAGCGGAGGAGUACUAAUAGACCGAGGGCUUGAC